RNAcentral lists this ribosomal RNA (507 nucleotides) under uncultured bacterium. RNAcentral describes it as "partial 16S ribosomal RNA". The record is from RNAcentral.
GGAGUUAGCCGGUGCUUCUUCUGUGAGUGAUGUCCUUCCUGCCGGCUAUUAACCCGCAGGCCUUCUUCCUCACUGAAAGUGCUUUACAACCCGAAGGCCUUCUUCACACACGCGGCAUGGCUGGAUCAGGGUUGCCCCCAUUGUCCAAUAUUCCCCACUGCUGCCUCCCGUAGGAGUCUGGGCCGUGUCUCAGUCCCAGUGUGGCUGAUCAUCAUCUCAGACCAGCUACGGAUCGUCGCCUUGGUGAGCCGUUACCUCACCAACCAGCUAAUCCGACAUAGGCUCAUCCGAUAGCGCGAGGCCCGAAGGUCCCCCGCUUUCCCCCGUAGGGCGUAUGCGGUAUUAGCCUGGGUUUCCCCAGGUUAUCCCCCACUACCGGGCAGAUUCCUAUGCAUUACUCACCCGUCCGCCGCUCGCCACCAGGGAGCAAGCUCCCCGUGCUGCCGCUCGACUUGCAUGUGUUAGGCCUGCCGCCAGCGUUCAAUCUGAACCAGAAUCAAACUCUGA